Molecule: ribosomal RNA, 253 nt
Filed under: uncultured bacterium
Lineage: Bacteria
Description: partial 16S ribosomal RNA
Rfam family: Bacterial small subunit ribosomal RNA
Source: RNAcentral
UACGAGGGGGGCAAGCGUUGUUCGGAAUUAUUGGGCGUAAAGGGUCCGUAGGCGGUUUGGUAAGUCAGUGGUGAAAGCCCAUCGCUCAACGAUGGAACGGCCAUUGAUACUGCCAGACUUGAAUUACUAGGAAGUAACUAGAAUAUGUAGUGUAGCGGUGAAAUGCUUAGAUAUUACAUGGAAUACCAAUUGCGAAGGCAGGUUACUGCUAGUGGAUUGACGCUGAUGGACGAAAGCGUGGGGAGCGAACAGG